This 406-nucleotide ribosomal RNA is filed under the name uncultured bacterium. Its description in RNAcentral is "partial 16S ribosomal RNA". It matches the Rfam family "Bacterial small subunit ribosomal RNA", at positions 30 to 526 of the family's 1533-position model. The record is from RNAcentral.
AUUGAACGCUGGCGGCAUGCUUUACACAUGCAAGUCGAACGAGCGGCGGACGGGUGAGUAACGUAUGGGAAACUGCCCGGUAGAGGGGGAUAACUAUUGGAAAGGGCGGCUAAUACCGCGUACCAUCGGAGCGGCCGAAGUUGGAUUAGGUGGUUGGCGGGGUAAAGGCUCACCAAGGCGACGAUCACUAGCUGGUCUGAGAGGAUGACCCGCCACACUGUGACUGAGACACGGCCCAGACUCCUACGGGAGGCAGCAGUGGGGAAUAUUGGGCAAUGGGCGCAACCCUGACCCAGCCAUUCCGCGUGACGGAAGAAGGCCUGCGGGUUGUAAAGUUCUUUUGUCAGGGAAGCGGUAACUACAGAAGAAGCACCGGCUAACUACGUGCCAGCAGCCGCGGUAAUAC